This 456-nucleotide ribosomal RNA is filed under the name uncultured Leptolinea sp. RNAcentral describes it as "bacterial SSU rRNA". It matches the Rfam family "Bacterial small subunit ribosomal RNA", at positions 912 to 1382 of the family's 1533-position model. Lineage: Bacteria; Bacillati; Chloroflexota; Anaerolineae; Anaerolineales; Anaerolineaceae. The record is from RNAcentral.
GACGGGACCCCGCACAAGCAGCGGAGCGUGUGGUUUAAUUCGAGGCUACACGAAGAACCUUACCAGGGUUUGACAUGCAAGUGGUAGGAAUCCGAAAGGUGACCGACCUUCGGGGAGCUUGCACAGGUGCUGCAUGGCUGUCGUCAGCUCGUGUCGUGAGAUGUUCGGUUAAGUCCGCUAACGAGCGCAACCCUCGUCGUGUGUUAUACGUGUCACACGAUACUGCCGGUAUCAAGCCGGAGGAAGGUGGGGAUGGUGUCAAGUCAGCAUGGCCUUUAUAUCCUGGGCUACACACACGCUACAAUGGCAGAUACAAUAGGUUGCGAAACCGCGAGGUGGAGCCAAUCCUCAAAGUCUGUCUCAGUUCAGAUUGUAGGCUGCAACUCGCCUGCAUGAAGUUGGAGUUGCUAGUAAACGCAGGUCAGCUAUACUGCGUUGAAUACGUUCCCGGGGUUU